UACGUAGGGACCGAGCGUUGUCCGGAUUCAUUGGGCGUAAAGAGCUCGUAGGCGGCUGCUCAAGUCGAAUGUGAAAACUCGAGGCUCAACCUCGAGCCUGCAUUCGAUACUGGUUGGCUUGAGUUUGGGAGAGGGAUGCGGAAUUCCAGGCGUAGCGGUGAAAUGCGUAGAUAUCUGGAGGAACACCGGUGGCGAAGGCGGCAUCCUGGACCAAUACUGACACUGAGGAGCGAAAGCCAGGGGAGCAAACGGG
This 253-nucleotide ribosomal RNA is filed under the name uncultured bacterium. RNAcentral describes it as "partial 16S ribosomal RNA". It matches the Rfam family "Bacterial small subunit ribosomal RNA", at positions 524 to 776 of the family's 1533-position model. The record is from RNAcentral.